This is a long non-coding RNA of Cyprinodon tularosa, 946 nucleotides long. RefSeq lists it as uncharacterized. The record is from RefSeq and is a predicted model, not a curated record. Lineage: Eukaryota; Metazoa; Chordata; Actinopteri; Cyprinodontiformes; Cyprinodontidae. The transcript is spliced from 3 exons.
GUCCUCAGGCUUUUGGCUCAGUGUGCGGGGAGAGCGCAGGUUCUGGUCCUUCUCCGUGGAGCCCUCAGGGUUUUGGCUCAGUGUGCGGGGGGAGCACAGGUUCUGGUCGUUUUCCGUGGAGCCCUCAGGGUUUUGGUUCGGAACGCAGGGAAGGUCACUUUUAAUUCCCUUCAGCCUGGCUCCAAGGUGGAGACCAGUUUAAAGUUCAGCAUUUAUCCUGGUACCAUGUCCUGUCUAUGUUCUUCUCUACCACUGAGCUUGCCUUUCUUCAUCAGCGCAUGUCUGUCUGAGCUCGCUGCCUGACUCAUAAAACUCUGAACCUGCCUUCACGUUCUGAGGAUUCCUGGAAUGCUGCAUCUGUCUGUUCCUGUUCGGAUUGGAACCCCUGGUUGGGCUACGGACUCCACAGGAUUGCUCUCAUGGCUGCUCACUCGGGUUGCUGCAUCGGGGACACUAUGGAUGGCUCUGAGCCACAUCUUUGAUGUGAUUGGCAUUCCAUUGGCUGGAUCUUGCCUUCCUUGGAGAGGAUAGACUGAGCUGUUAAACCAGAACCCUGAACCUGCCUGAACUCUUUUUGGAUUCCUGGAACCCUGGAUCUGCAUGUUCCUGUUCUGAACCCCUGACCAGGCUACAGACUCCUGGAUCUCAGAACUGUCCUGUUCUGAACUGUUUCCCUGACCUGGCUUGGACUCCUGCCUGUUUACUGGGGCUGCUGUGGUUGGGCGUCAUCCGCCGCAUCUCAUUGGCAGCCCUCCGGCUGGAUCCUGCAUCACUCCAAGGAGUUGGACUGCACUGUUAAACCAGAUUCUUCUGCUCCUCUGCCUGCUCUGGCUUCUGCUCAUCAGUGCUCUGUUUCUCUCCUGGACCUCUGGAAUCGGCUUCCGCCGCAAGCUACGGAGAAACACUCCCUCUUGACUGCAUUCUGUUUUCUGGGCUCAGACUGAAC